Molecule: ribosomal RNA, 468 nt
Filed under: Lachnoanaerobaculum saburreum
Lineage: Bacteria; Bacillati; Bacillota; Clostridia; Lachnospirales; Lachnospiraceae
Description: bacterial SSU rRNA
Rfam family: Bacterial small subunit ribosomal RNA
Source: RNAcentral
GAUGAACGCUGGCGGCGUGCUUAACACAUGCAAGUCGAACGAAGCUGUUAAAAGGAAGUCUUCGGAUAGAAUUUUAACAGACUUAGUGGCGGACGGGUGAGUAACGCGUGGAUAACCUGCCUUAUACAGGGGGAUAACGGAGAGAAAUUUCCGCUAAGACCGCAUAAGACCACAGCACCGCAUGGUGCAGGGGUAAAAUAUUAAUAGGUAUAAGAUGGAUCCGCGUCCGAUUAGCUAGUUGGUGAGGUAGAGGCUCACCAAGGCGAUGAUCGGUAGCCGGCCUGAGAGGGUGAACGGCCACAUUGGGACUGAGACACGGCCCAAACUCCUACGGGAGGCAGCAGUGGGGAAUAUUGGACAAUGGGGGAAACCCUGAUCCAGCGACGCCGCGUGAGUGAAGAAGUAUUUCGGUAUGUAAAGCUCUAUCAGCAGGGAAGAAAAUGACGGACCUGACUAAGAGCCCCGGUA